UAGAUUCCUUUCUUCCCCUGCAAAUAAAAUCCUAAUAAGCCCAAUUCCAGAAUUGUCCACCGUAUUCCCGGACUGCGAGGUUAGGGUUUCGCUCAUAUUUCCUUUAAACUAGUAGAUCUUGUAAAUUCGGAUCGACAGGACCUUGUUUUGAGCACUGAAGAUGGCGACUGAACAGAAAGCUGCAACCGAGGACGUGAAGAUGGACCUCUUCGAGGAUGACGAUGAAUUUGAAGAGUUUGAGAUCAAUGAAGGUGAAAUCAUAACCUUGUUUUCAAUUCUUUCUUUUUAUUGUUAUUAAUUUUUUGUACACGGGAUAUAUGAGUUGUUGAUCAAUGUAAUUAUGGAAUUUGAUUAUCGCUUGAUUGGCUCUUCAUUGUUAUAUUUCAGAAGGAUGUUGUUUGAAUGACACUUGUUGCAAGUUAAUCGGACUUCAGACUUUAGUGUGAGAAUAAUAUUUAUGUGGGAAUGAAUACAGAUGAUGAUGUUGAUGAUGCAAAACCUACUGUAUUUUGAAUUUUAACAAUGUUAAUCCGAUUAGGUUUGACGUCACAUUGAUGAGCUGAUUACCCUUUUUUUUUUCUUUUUUUCUGGUGGUUUUGAUCGAAUGGUGAGUUCGACUCAGUACUUUAUUUAAUAGAAGAAUUUUUACUGUUUACAUGAUUGAUUCUCUUUCUUCCACUUGCUAAGUCCUUGGACUUGAUGAAUAUCAGUUUUUGUGGCUAAAUGUGAAGGUGUUCUAACGAUUUUACUCCGGUAACCAAUUCAGUUUGGACCAGAAUUUAGGGACUGAGAUUGCUUAGAUUUGUUCUAGCGAUGGAUACUUACAAAUCAUACUUUCUUAAAUAUGGCUGUACUCUUGCUAAUUGUUGCAGAACUGGUAUAAGAAGUUGUUUAGGAGCUGGUGCUGCGGUUGAGCAUUGAAAGAUAAAUAACUCCUGUAGCCUAAAAUGUGACAUGGAAUAUUACAAUGAUUGUGUAUAAUGUAUAAUUUUGUGAAAUUGCUGGUGAAAUUUAUACAAAUAGACUGGUUAUAUAUAUGAAUUGCUAACCCAAACAUUCUAGCAGAAAAAAAAAAAAGAUAAAUAAUAUUGCCUAGCAUUCAUCUGUGACAGAGCACGUGAAUUUAUAUAGCAGAAUCAAAUUCUGUUUAUUUUGAUAACCUAUUUUUCUUUCUUAUUUUUAUUUAAUUUUGUAACUUUCAUCUUGGUUUCAUUUCUGGUCAUCACAAGGGUUUGAAGUUUUCUGGCCUUUUGUGGUUCAAAGCAGGGAGUCUUAUGCAUGGGAGAAACGCAUUUUUCUUGUUCUUCAUAUCAUGUUGCAUUUUUUGUGACAUUUGUAAGAAUGCUUCUAUUGUUUCUCAUGAUAAUAACAAUGACAGAGUGGGAGGUCAAGGUGGAAGGAAAAGAGGUCACACAGCAGUGGGAGGAUGAUUGGGAUGAUGAUGAUGUCAAUGAUGACUUCUCGCUGCAGCUGAGGAGGGAAUUGGAGAAGAA
Molecule: unclassified non-coding RNA, 1493 nt
Filed under: Hevea brasiliensis (rubber tree)
Lineage: Eukaryota; Viridiplantae; Streptophyta; Magnoliopsida; Malpighiales; Euphorbiaceae
Source: RNAcentral